CGCACCGUGAGGCCGCUGGAGCGGAGCUGCGUGUCUCGGGGACCCUUGGGGGAAGUCCUCGGUCCCCAGGUUCCGGGCCAGAUGGCCCGACACCGGGAGAAGCAGGGGUCGCGACGCCGAGACCAUUGUUCAACCAGCUGCUUGGAGGACAGCGGCGGCCAGGGCCGCGAGGUGGAGGCAGGGCAGGGCUGGGACCCAGCGGCGUGGGGACCCGGAGCCAGCCGGGCCUGGGGUGGGCGCCCCGGGAAGCCCGGGGCUCAGGAGCAGGCGAGCAAGGGGAAGCCCGCAGAUGGACGGGAGGAGGCGCUAGGUCCCUCGGAGGCUCUAGGAUUCCAUGGGCACGGGGCCCUCCGAGCUGCCUGCCCUGCCGAGUAGGGACGGGCUGACACCCAAGCCCCAGGGCGAUCUGCUCAGGUGGCUGUGUUGGGCCCAUGUGACUUCCGGGGCCCCUCUGCGCGGCCCUCAGAGGGGAGAGGCGUCUGUGGCUCUGCGGUGAGCCCCAGCGGAGACCGAGGUCGCAGUGGAGAGGGAUCCGGGGCUGAGACCCGACAGGCUGCUGAGUCCCAGGCAGGGUCCGGAGCAGAGUGCUCAGGCCUCAGCCUCCAGAGCACGGCUAGGGCCGCGGGUGUCCCGGGAAGAAGCCCCCAGCCCACCAGUGGGGGCUCCAUCCCCAAUCCCCAGGACAGGCGGGACUUCCAGGGUGCCAGCGCAGUGAGGAGGAGGACGCUGGAGUGCGGGCCCCUGACAGGCCGCGCUGGGUGGGCACACGGCUGGGGAAGUCCAAGGAGAGAGCUGACCGCCCAGCCCCACAUCCCGCUCCCGGUGCACCGAGAGCAGCCUGCAGACACUCUCCGAGCCCACGCCAGUGCUGUUUAAUCCUUUGGAAAACACUUGGCCAGAAACCUGCCCCAGAAAGAGAGCGGCAGGAGAUUUCCACUGUGGCCAUGAACACUUUUGCCUGCUUGGGAACUCGUCUUUACAACAAACAAGAAUACCUUAUAAAAUUUAAAGGGCACCAAUGCGGAUUUCUAAGCAGGUGCAGGGUUCCGUGGAAACCACCCAGUGGCCAUCAUGGUGCUUCUACCACCAAGGAGAUGGCAGUCCGAGCCAGCCACGUGGCACCCGCUGAGCAACUACAGUGUGCCAAGCACUGCUCUAGACCCAGGAGGUAAACUGAGGAACCAAACCGGACCAGGUCCCAGUCUUUGUGGAGCUGCCAUUCCAGGCAGAGACAAUAAACAGAAAUGAUAUCAUUGCAGUCUCUAAGUGCUAUGAAAAAAUAAUGAACAGGGGAGCUGAGAGGCUACUUUGUACAGAGGGUUGGAGAAGGCUUCUCUGAUGAGCUGAUGACUGACCCUGAAGAAUAAAAAAGAAAGAAGCACACAAAGGUCAAAGGUGAGACAGGCAUUUGAGCUUCGAGAACAGCAAGUGAAAAGGCCCUGGGGUGAAGAGGGAGGUGCUAUAAUCCCAGAACUUCCUGUCGGAGAGGGGAGUUGGAAAUGAGGUUCUUGAGGGAAGCGAGGCUUGAUAGAUCCACCUCAUGGACCUGGGAGGAUUUUGUGGCGACCACUGGAAAAGACCUCCAUCUAUGGUUCCCAGCCGUGUGCUAGGGGACAGGGAUGGCAGCAAGCUCCCCCACCCCAACUCUUGGAGAGGGUGCUGUGCUCAGUGAGCCUGUUAUCUGGGACUCACCAGUGGGCAGACGGUUUGUCAUCAGUCGUUCCUGCAGCCUGGUAACAGCAGCACCUCGCUGAGCAGAAUCACUGUUUCCCGCUGCCCUGCUCAGGCAGAACACAAAUUUCUCCGCAUUUCAUGCUCACCGCACCGCAGGCAGCCAAGGUCAGCCCCUCGCCAUCAAGUGCAGGAUCAUAAACAAGUGACACGAUCCAGUUCAUGCUGUAAAGGGACAUCAGCCACACAGACCUUACCGCCUUCAGCCCUGUGCAGACAAAUGAUUAUAUUCACACACACACACACAGGCAGAUGAGGAGAUGGAGUGAGAUCAAAUCACGUCCCCGACACAGCUGUGAGGGGCAGAGCUACAACCCCAGUCCAGGUAGUUGAAGUCUUCAUCUCCGCCCGGCUGGCAUCGAGGACAAGG
Long non-coding RNA from Heterocephalus glaber (naked mole-rat), 2101 nucleotides. Lineage: Eukaryota; Metazoa; Chordata; Mammalia; Rodentia; Bathyergidae. The record is from Ensembl.